Molecule: long non-coding RNA, 1596 nt
Organism: Anolis carolinensis (green anole)
Lineage: Eukaryota; Metazoa; Chordata; Lepidosauria; Squamata; Anolidae
Source: Ensembl
AUGACUUCCCUUCACGUAUUUGUACAUGGCUAUCAUGUCUCCUCUCAACCUUCUCUUCUGCAGGCUAAACAUGCCAAGCUCUUUAAGCCGCUCCUCAUAGGGCUUGUUCUCCAGACCCUUAAUCAUUUUAGUCGCCCUCCUCUGGACGCUUUCCAGCUUGUCAGACCACACCUGGAAUACUGUGUCCAAUUUUGGGCACCACAGUUGAAGGGAGAUGUUGACAAACUGGAAAGCGUCCAGAGGAGGGCGACUAAAAUGAUUAAGGGUCUGGAGAACAAGCCCUAUGAGGAGCGGCUUAAAGAGCUGGGCAUGUUUAGCCUGCAGAAGAGAAGGCUGAGAGGAGACAUGAUAGCCAUGUACAAAUACGUGAAGGGAAGUCAUAGGGAAGAGGGAGCAAGCUUGUUUUCUGCUGCCCUGCAGACUAGGACACGGAACAAUGGCUUCAAACUACAGGAAAGGAGAUUCCACUUGAACAUCAGGAAGAACUUCCUCACUGUGAGAGCUGUUCGACAGUGGAACUCUCUCCCCGGGGCCGUGGUGGAGGCUCCUUCCUUGGAGGCUUUUAAGCAGAGGCUGGAUGGCCAUCUGUCGGGGGUGCUUUGAAUGCGAUUUCCUGCUUCUUAGCAGGGGGUUGGACUAGAUGGCCCAUGUGGUCUCUUCCAACUCUACUAUUCUAUGAUUCUAUGAUUCUAUAACAUGAAGGAAGCCAUGUUAUCACAUGACAAUGCACCUGAAUGGAUGUUAUGCUAUGAUAGAAUCCUUUUUUGGGUAUUAAAAUAACUUUGGAUUAGGAAUGAAGUUUUCUGCCUUCGUAGAAGGAACACUUUACAUAUACAUUUUGAUUAUUGAUUAAAAUGUUAUAUCUAGGAAUGUCUAGGUCAUCCAGUACAACAUCAUAUUUGAGAACCUAGAGAUUUCUAUAUAGAAUUCCAGUAUGAUGUUAUAGUUAACUCCAUAGUUCUUCAAGUUUCAUAUGGGUGUGGGGAGUUCCUGCAUUCCUAACCCCUGUGAAUGUGGAGGGCUGACUGUAUCUAGAUGAAGUUAAUAAAAACCACUCAGAACAAAUCUUGAUAUUGCCACUGUACUUUUGAAACCUGAGAAUGACAAUAGAAACACUUGAAAAUCUACUGAAUUAAAAACCAUUAAAAUUUUUUUUAGUUGCAGCCUAUGUUAUGGUAUGAUAGCAGUUUUAAAAUUACUGCUGUUUGCUUUCAAAUUUCCCUCUUUGUCCUGCCCUUAAAAUAGGUCCUGGUUUGGGAUCGCAUUUCAGAACAUAUUUUCUUGUAUCCAGGAUAAAACUGAUUGUCAAUGCCAUUGAAUACAGCAGUACUGACACAUAAAUUCACUAUCCACCAGUAUCUCUCCCUCUCCCUCAGCUCCAUCAGAGGCCAGUACCUGUCAGAGGCCAAGCUAGAGGCCUCAAUGUGGUGCCUGGCAGAGGAGGAGGCUCCACGGGGCUUGCCACAACUCUUCUCCAUUGGCCUCUCCACCGAAGACCUCUAGCUGUGGGUGCUCUACCUCAGCGUCAACUUUAUCCUGUGCCACACCCUCCUGUUGCACCUGGCCCAGAAUCUUGUAGACCCUGAGGUGCGUGCC